Molecule: ribosomal RNA, 304 nt
Filed under: uncultured bacterium
Lineage: Bacteria
Description: bacterial SSU rRNA
Rfam family: Bacterial small subunit ribosomal RNA
Source: RNAcentral
AUUGACGCUCGCGCAGUGCCUACACAUGCAAGUCGAACGGCAGCACGGGACUUCGGUCUAGGUGGCGAGUGGCGAACGGGUGAGUAAUACAUCGGAACGUGCCUAGUAGUGGGGGAUAACUACUCGAAAGAGUGGCUAAUACCGCAUGAGAUCUACGGAUGAAAGCAGGGGAUCGCAAGACCUUGUGCUACUAGAGCGGCCGAUGGCAGAUUAGGUAGUUGGUGGGAUAAAAGCUUACCAAGCCAACGAUCUGUAGCUGGUCUGAGAGGACGAUCAGCCACACUGGGACUGAGACACGGCCCAG